RNAcentral lists this ribosomal RNA (429 nucleotides) under Gemmatimonadota bacterium. RNAcentral's name for it is "Gemmatimonadetes bacterium partial 16S ribosomal RNA". It matches the Rfam family "Bacterial small subunit ribosomal RNA", at positions 355 to 776 of the family's 1533-position model. Lineage: Bacteria; Pseudomonadati; Gemmatimonadota. The record is from RNAcentral.
UAGGGAAUCUUCGGCAAUGGACGAAAGUCUGACCGAGCAACGCCGCGUGAGUGAAGAAGGGUUUCGGAUCGUAAAACUCUGUUGUUAGAGAAGAACAAGGACGUUAGUAACUGAACGUCCCCUGACGGUAUCUAACCAGAAAGCCACGGCUAACUACGUGCCAGCAGCCGCGGUAAUACGUAGGUGGCAAGCGUUGUCCGGAUUUAUUGGGCGUAAAGCGAGCGCAGGCGGUUUCUUAAGUCUGAUGUGAAAGCCCCCGGCUCAACCGGGGAGUGUCAUUGGAAACUGGGAGACUUGAGUGCAGAAGAGGAGAGUGGAAUUCCAUGUGUAGCGGUGAAAUGCGUAGAUAUAUGGAGGAACACCAGUGGCGAAGGCGGCUCUCUGGUCUGUAACUGACGCUGAGGCUGGAAAGCGUGGGGAGCAAACAGG